RNAcentral lists this ribosomal RNA (883 nucleotides) under Salmonella enterica. RNAcentral's name for it is "partial 23S ribosomal RNA". It matches the Rfam family "Bacterial large subunit ribosomal RNA", at positions 1920 to 2802 of the family's 2925-position model. The record is from RNAcentral. Lineage: Bacteria; Pseudomonadati; Pseudomonadota; Gammaproteobacteria; Enterobacterales; Enterobacteriaceae.
CCGGUAAACGGCGGCCGUAACUAUAACGGUCCUAAGGUAGCGAAAUUCCUUGUCGGGUAAGUUCCGACCUGCACGAAUGGCGUAAUGAUGGCCAGGCUGUCUCCACCCGAGACUCAGUGAAAUUGAACUCGCUGUGAAGAUGCAGUGUACCCGCGGCAAGACGGAAAGACCCCGUGAACCUUUACUAUAGCUUGACACUGAACAUUGAGCCUUGAUGUGUAGGAUAGGUGGGAGGCUUUGAAGUGUGGACGCCAGUCUGCAUGGAGCCGACCUUGAAAUACCACCCUUUAAUGUUUGAUGUUCUAACGUGGACCCGUGAUCCGGGUUGCGGACAGUGUCUGGUGGGUAGUUUGACUGGGGCGGUCUCCUCCUAAAGAGUAACGGAGGAGCACGAAGGUUGGCUAAUCCUGGUCGGACAUCAGGAGGUUAGUGCAAUGGCAUAAGCCAGCUUGACUGCGAGCGUGACGGCGCGAGCAGGUGCGAAAGCAGGUCAUAGUGAUCCGGUGGUUCUGAAUGGAAGGGCCAUCGCUCAACGGAUAAAAGGUACUCCGGGGAUAACAGGCUGAUACCGCCCAAGAGUUCAUAUCGACGGCGGUGUUUGGCACCUCGAUGUCGGCUCAUCACAUCCUGGGGCUGAAGUAGGUCCCAAGGGUAUGGCUGUUCGCCAUUUAAAGUGGUACGCGAGCUGGGUUUAGAACGUCGUGAGACAGUUCGGUCCCUAUCUGCCGUGGGCGCUGGAGAACUGAGGGGGGCUGCUCCUAGUACGAGAGGACCGGAGUGGACGCAUCACUGGUGUUCGGGUUGUCAUGCCAAUGGCACUGCCCGGUAGCUAAAUGCGGAAGAGAUAAGUGCUGAAAGCAUCUAAGCACGAAACUUGCCCCGA